ACGCUACGAUCGAAAAUUUAAACAUACCGCCCUUUCUUUUCGGCAUCCGAAGAUCACCGAAGACUGCCGAAGACAGACAGACUGACUGACGCGCUUUAGCGCCUAAGCGUUAUUUUCCGUUUCAGUCUUCAAUAAUUUUUCGGUCUUGUGUUGAUUUUAGGAGAUUUAUCAAAAAAAUCGGAGUAAAAAUUGUCUUCUCAGUUCAGAGUGAGAAUUGAAGUAAAAACGGGAAAUCUAAUUCAGUGGGGGUGUCUAGGACCCCUCAAAUCAUAACCCCUCGAGAACAAGGCGUCGCUAUUCUUUUUGCGUCUGUAGUCAUUGGUGUAGUGUUGCGCGAAAUCCAACAGUUUUGUGAUUCAGUGUAAAAUUAAAAAAAAAGACUACAAAUUAAUGUAUGCAACCAGACAUCCCCCCACGCUUACCGACAAAGUAGCGGCUACUUAAGAUUUGAAUCUUCGCAAUGAAGACAUCGAAAGAUAAGUGAAAAAUUAGAGAUAUUUAUUUUUGGUUAAUAAUAUAUUCUAAUAUAUAUCACAUUCAUAUUUAGAAAUAACAUAUCGUAACAAAUACUCGUAAUAUAUACAUAUCAGUUUUAAAGUAUUUAAUACCUACAUACCUGAAGUAAAAGCUUUAUAUUACUUACACGCGAGUUAAAGACAAUUCAUUAAAAAAAUCUCUUAUUUAAUAAUUGAAAGCAGGCUAAAUUACAAUUUUUCCUAUUUAACACGCAUCACAGUUUUUAUAUAAAAAAAAAAAAA
Molecule: non-coding RNA, 758 nt
Organism: Osmia lignaria (orchard mason bee)
Lineage: Eukaryota; Metazoa; Arthropoda; Insecta; Hymenoptera; Megachilidae
Source: RefSeq, a predicted model, not a curated record